GAUUGGCUGUUGCGGCGCCUGCUGUAAGGAAACGUCACAACACAAAUAACCGCGGCAAGGCAGCAUCUCUUAGCUCUUAAUGUUUCCAAGAGUCACGCGCAACAGAAUGAUGCGUAAAGGCAAAAGGAAAAGCGCUACUUUUUACUUGGUUGCAGGUUUUAUUCUAGCAUGUUAUUUGGCGCCAACGAUAGACUGUUAUCGACUAAAGAAAACAGGAAGACGAGAAGGGCGAAACGAAGCCAAAGCAGCCAAAACGAUAGGUGUCCAAGAGGGGAAAAUUGUGUUCGGGAGGGUUUUUGAGAAGGGGUCAGGCCCUGAGUCACAAGUCGUAGACGGGACCAGCAAAGCGUCUUCAAACACUUCUGUGGAGGAUGAAACGGCUUAUCAAGCCGACUUUGCGGGUUGGUCAAAAGGACAAGCACAUGAUGCUAACUCUAAAGAAGCCUCGUGGAAGCGCAUGGUACCUUCCCUGCAGUGUGGUCGGGACCAGAUGAAGUUCCGAGCAAUGGGACCUGGAGCUUCACAGUUCGCAGUUGAACAAGCAAAUGCAGCUCCACUGCCUUUGUCCCAGGUCCCUUCCACCUGUGGCUACAACAUGCAGAGGAACUCCCUUGCACUUCUUAUGUUGGUUCCAUAUGAUGGCUGCAAUAUGGUUCAAGAGGGUGGAAGUUACAUGCUGCAGAUGCGUUGGCAGGGAAUCCCAGUGUCACUGUGGUGCCCCAAACCUGCAGCACCUGAUCCCAUGCCUGCUGACCCACAGAUGCCCAGCAAGAGCCCAGAUGUUUCAAAUCCCAAAAUCCCCCCACCCUAUUUCUUUCCACAUUAUAUGCAUUAUCAGUACCCAUCAGUGGUUGUACCAGAGCCUACGACGGCAACAACCACAACGACCACAAAGAAACCAGAGAUGCCUAAAUUUCCGCAAUACCCCUCUUACUUCCCUCCUUUAUAUCCCUACUUUCCUGCCCCUCUUCCAGUCACAGCAGCAACGCCAACUACAACUACCACUGCAAAGCCAGCAGCCACAGCUCCUCCUCCAGCAUUUCGUCCUUUCUACCCACCUUUCUUUCCUCCCUUUCCUUGGCCCCUCCCUGGGCAUCCACCAGCGACUAUAGCGGCCACAACUACUCAAACAACCACACCUAAACCAACUACUAAACCCCAGGUGCCACAGUUUCCACCAUACAUGCCCAUGCCUUUUUAUCCUCCAUACCCUCCUUAUCCUAUUUUCCCUCCCUAUCCACAUCUUCCAACCACUAAGCCAAAGACGACAACAACCCCGCCGACAACCACUACAACAGAGAAAACGAACCCUGUGCUGACUCCAGCACCGUCACACCAUCACCCACACUUUCAUCCACAUGUUCACCUCCCAUAUCCAUUUAUGCCAUUUCCCCCUCCUUCAGGCUAGCCUGCUGAAACUGUAAUAAAUGGGUUUUGAAUAACAGAAGUGGCUUUGUCUGUCUUGAGUAUUGGAAAUUCUAGUUGAAGGGUUAAAGUGAAAAGGUUGGUGCUCAUAUUAAAGGUCUUUACGCUUGACAAAUGCAAGCACUUAUCCUACUGCCAUAUGGUCCCUAGGUGUUUGAGCUUAACUGAUGCAUUAAUUGAGCAUUAUUUGAGUAGGAUUUAACACCUAUUUAAAAGUAGCUAGGAAGCAUUUUGAAACCACUGGGAAUUAAAUCCAGUGACCUAUGAAAGAUGAGGUGACAGCGUGUAAUUUCCUUAAGGAGAAUGAAGGAUAGAAAUAAUGACAGUCUAAGGAAUGACUUAGUGAUUUAGCAAGCUUCUCAGGCAUUCUGUGGUCACCUGCUUAUUAAUAAACAUUUUUCAUUAAUAAACAAAGUAAUCAUUUCCAGAAGGUAAAGUGUGUCUAUAUUACCUAUGAAAAUAUCCACGAUCCCCUACAUUUAAUUUUAGUACUUUAAAUCAGAGUGGAACUUUUUCAUUUCAAAAGAAUUUUCUAUAAAUUGUUCUUUUUCAAGAACAUAUCACAGCAGCUCCUUAGCAUGACAUUAUUUUGAUCUCACAUUUUCUUAUCCUUUUAUUCUUCUCAUUGCCAUUUUUUCCUCUUUCCUACACUCGUACAUAUGUCCGGCAAAUUGUUUUUGCCCUGCAUUGUCUGGUGCACCUUAAAAAGCUGGAGCAGCAAAAUCACAUUUCAUGGCAGCCUGUUACUAGAUUACUCGAUUUAAUGUAGUAAUGUUAUUGGUUUAUUUUUAAUUCAUUCUAUUUGUGUCAUGUUCAUAAAUAUUAACAUGACCUGACAUCAAAAAUGACCUAUAAAAGAAGUGGCCAGUCUCCUAUUUCUCAUGCCAUAUAAAAUGCAGAGCUGACUAGAGAUCAAGGAGUCUUAACAAGCCCACCUGUUGUGACCUUAAUUAACACAGGUGCAAGCUCAAGCUGAAGUUGAAUUUGAUUGGUUGAUUACCUGAUGCCAACUUGUUCCCAGUUUAAAAAGCUGUCAUUCAGUUAUUCUGUGUCAUGAUAAAGUGCUUUCCAUCUGCUCCAGGUGUGCAGCUCCAGUAUGGAAGGUGACGAUGGAAGGAGCCGCAGAUUAUGUCAAACUGUAGCUGUAAUAUUGCUCCUGUGUUCCUUGCUCCAGAGUGUAACUUGUUUUAGCUUGGAAGGGCCACGCAAAACAGUUCAACAGGACAAGGUAGUCGGUGAGGCUGCAGUAAUGGAAGCAAGGAAAGGAAGCAUCCUCUUCAAUGGGAAAGAGCAUAAUUCUGAGUCAGGAUCUACUUCUGCUACUGCUGCCACAGGUGACAACAGAUUGCAGCAUGAUGAUUUGGAUCAGUCAGGUGGCACUGAGAUGUCUGAACAGACAUCACAGCUGAAGGAGGUUCUGCCCAAUGAAGCAGUAUGGAGGCACCUGAACCCUACUCUGCAUUGUGGUCAAACCCAGAUGAAGUUGAAAGCCAUGGGACCUGGAGCUGCUGACUUGCAGCUAGACAUGGGCACUGCACGUCCUCUUCCACUGAUCCAGGUGCCUAAGACCUGUGGAUACUCCAUGCAGCAGAAUACACUGGGUCUUGUUUUGGUCGUUCCCUAUGAUGGCUGCAACGUGGUACAAGAGAAUGGAAACUAUGUGGUGCCGAUGAGUUGGUUGGGGACUCGAGUUAAAUUAACCUGCCCUGUGUUUCCUGGUCCAAAACCUGUUUCAACCACCCCUAAGCCUGCCCAGCAUCCCUGGAAACAUCCUUUCCCUCACGGGCCUUGGAGCCUUUAUCGUCGUAAACGACAUGCAAAUCACCCCCCUUCCAUGUAUGAUCCUAGCAGCCCAUAUUAUUCCUAUUUGUAUUACUAUUACAUGAAUAUGAUGACACCAGCACCAGCUACAACUACUGCCAAGCCUGACACAACUACUGCAACUACCAAGCCAACUACAGAGAAACCACCUCAAAUUAAGCCUCCUGCAUAUCCUUACUAUCCGUACUACCCAUAUUACCCAUACUAUCCUUAUUACUACCCCUACUACCCUCUCCCAGUGACAACCACUGUGCAACCACCCACUACCACUGGACCUGGCACUAUGACUACUACAACCAGCACGACUACCUCAACCUCGACAACAAAGACUCCUCAAAAACCACCCUAUUACUUUCCAUAUUAUCCUUCCUAUCCCUUUUACCCUCCAGCGGGACAACAGUUCCCCGAAAACCCUGACAACUCUGAAAUUUACUACUACCCAGUCAUCCAGCAUUUCUAUGGAAAGCCUCCAUACUACACUCCAAGUCAACCAACGCAAACAUCUCCAACAACUAAGCCAGAUGACACUGCUAAACCAAGUGACUCUAGUCCUACGACGAAGCCAACAACUGCCUCUGAUCCCACAUCUGCCUCUGCCACCACACAAACAACUCAAACAACAACACCCAGCAGUGGCAACUAUCCAGGCCCAAUGAGUCCAUUUGUUCCUUACUACAGCCUCCCCUUCACUCCGUAUGUUUUAUACAAGGCUGGCAAACGCCCAGAUUACCAGAAAUACAUGCCUCAAGAUGGUUACAAAUCUGGACCCCAGGCUCCAGCAUUCCCACACGCAGGCUUCAACUACUGGCAGCCUGGGCCAUGGUUUCCCCAAUCAUCAGGGCAAGACAGUCCUCAAAUUGACUGGAAAAAUCUACAACCUAAACAAGUCUGAACUCCAAAUGGUAAGGCUAACUUGUAAAAGUUUGCAUUGGUAUGGAUUUAAGAGUCAAGUGUCUCAACCAUAACAGUCUUUCAGGAGCUGGUGUCCUGUAAUACUGAGCAUUCAAUAAACAAGUUUUACGUAGAA
Lates calcarifer (barramundi perch) is the source of this 4273-nucleotide RNA transcript. RefSeq lists it as uncharacterized. NCBI's taxonomy places the organism in Eukaryota, Metazoa, Chordata, Actinopteri, Centropomidae. The transcript is spliced from 7 exons. The record is from RefSeq and is a predicted model, not a curated record.